Molecule: ribosomal RNA, 301 nt
Filed under: uncultured bacterium
Lineage: Bacteria
Description: partial 16S ribosomal RNA
Rfam family: Bacterial small subunit ribosomal RNA
Source: RNAcentral
CAGUCGCCGCGGUAAUACGUAGGGUGCAAGCGUUAAUCGGAAUUACUGGGCGUAAAGCGUGCGCAGGCGGUUUGUUAAGACAGAUGUGAAAUCCCCGGGCUCAACCUGGGAACUGCAUUUGUGACUGGCAAGCUAGAGUGUGGCAGAGUGGGGUGGAAUUCCGCGUGUAGCAGUGAAAUGCGUAGAUAUGCGGAGGAACACCGAUGGCGGAGGCAGCCCCCUGGGCCAACACUGACGCUCAUGCACGAAAGCGUGGGGAGCAAACAGGAUUAGAUACCCCCGUAGUCCCUGUCUCUUAUAC